This 497-nucleotide ribosomal RNA is filed under the name uncultured bacterium. RNAcentral's name for it is "partial 16S ribosomal RNA". It matches the Rfam family "Bacterial small subunit ribosomal RNA", at positions 28 to 507 of the family's 1533-position model. The record is from RNAcentral.
GAUGAACGCUGGCGGCGGGCCUAAUACAUGCAAGUCGAGCGAAUAGACGAGGAGCUUGCUCCUCUGACGUUAGCGUCGGACGUGUGAGUAACACGUUGAUAACUGACCUAUAAUACUGGGAUAAUUUCGGGAAACCGGUUCUAAUACCGAGUAACAUGUUAAACCUUAUGUUUCAUCGUUGAAUGUCGUCCUUUCUGUCUCUUAUGUUUGUAUACUCGUCGCAUUAGCUAGUUGGUAAGGUAACGCCUUACCAAGGCAAUGAUGCGUAGCCGACCCGAGAGGGAGAUCCGCAACACUGGAAAUGGGACGAGGUCCAGAAUUGUAAGGGAGGCACGAGUAGGGAAUCUUCCGGCAGGGGCGGAAGGCUGAUGGAGCAAAGCCGCGUGAGUGAAGAAGGUCUACGGCUCGUAAAACAACGUUACUAGGGAAGAACAAAUGUGCAAGUAACAAUGAACGUUAUGACGGAACCUAAAAAGAAAGCCACGGCUAACUACGUG